Long non-coding RNA from Daucus carota subsp. sativus, 798 nucleotides. RefSeq lists it as uncharacterized. The record is from RefSeq and is a predicted model, not a curated record. The transcript is spliced from 2 exons. Lineage: Eukaryota; Viridiplantae; Streptophyta; Magnoliopsida; Apiales; Apiaceae.
AGCCACUAGGUAUGAAAUCAAUUAACUAGCCACUAGGUAUGGAAUCAAUUAUAAACAACACUUUCAAGGCAGGGAACUGAAUUUGAUCAAAGAGCACCAAUGUCUUUACCUUUCCCGACCCAAGCAAAUGAAGCAAGAUUAGCUUAGGAAAUGAAGUCGCAUUCAAAGAAGAAGAUGAUGGCCAUGAAAAUUCAUCCGAUUAAUUCCUCGGAAAAGGGACCUCAGCCGAAUUCUACUAGCGCGGCAAAUACUGGUCCUGACAGGGGGGAGGGGAAUCCCACAAUUGAAAUAUCGGCUAAAUCAAUGCUAAUUAGAUGCGUUCAACCAUUACAAACAAGCUGUCAAGAGAGGCACCAAGCGUUAGACGUCUUAGAUCCUUGACUCACGUAUCUCGAAUUUGGUCAAAGACAGGUAACUGUUUUUCAGCAGCAGCAGGUUAAUCAUAGAAGAAGAUGAAUCUCCUCUUGCAUCACUGAUAAACUUGAGCUCAAGAGAGGCGCUGGUGCAGUGUGUCGAGAUCUUCAUGAAGAUUCCAAGCCUGGACAACUUCAUCAGCUGCGAGUGAAACAAGCUUGCCCAGCAAUCCGCCAGCCAAAUCUGCUACAAUAGCCUCGGCCAUCUUUUCUUGUAUUGAUCACUGGUAUAAUUCUCGAGAUAUAUUUGGUGACAUGAUAGAAGUGUAAUUUGGGCUAUAGCAGUUUCUAAAUCAAGUGGCACUAUAAAUUAGUUGCUGAAUCAACCCUUGUUUCCCAUUUUCAUAAUGGCUAGUUGAUGCAACAUGAGGAGAAUUUUGAUUUA